CCAGACUCCUACGGGAGGCAGCAGUGAGGAAUAUUGGUCAAUGGCCGGAAGGCUGAACCAGCCAAGCCGCGUGAGGGAGGAAGGCGAAGAGCGUCGCAGACCUCUUUUGCCGGGGGACAAAAGGCCGGACUCGUCCGGUCCUGAGGGUACCCGGAGAAAAAGCAUCGGCUAACUCCGUGCCAGCAGCCGCGGUAAUACGGAGGAUGCGAGCGUUAUCCGGAUUUAUUGGGUUUAAAGGGUGCGUAGGUUGUUUUUUAAGUCAGCGGUGAAAGUUUGGGGCUCAACCAUAAAAUUGCCGUUGAAACUGGAAGACUUGAGUGUUGUUGAGGUAGGCGGAAUGCGUGGUGUAGCGGUGAAAUGCAUAGAUAUCACGCAGAACUCCGAUUGCGAAGGCAGCUUACUAAGCCAUAACUGACACUGAAGCACGAAAGCGUGGGGAUCAAACAGGAUUAGAUACCCGGGUC
RNAcentral lists this ribosomal RNA (464 nucleotides) under uncultured bacterium. RNAcentral describes it as "partial 16S ribosomal RNA". It matches the Rfam family "Bacterial small subunit ribosomal RNA", at positions 331 to 792 of the family's 1533-position model. The record is from RNAcentral.